AAUGAAAACUGAAGUGUUUCUCUGAUGCCAGUUUUGUGCUAACUUCUCAGCUACAAGCUCCAGCCAGAGAGUUUACAUUGAAGUACAAUGACACUGAUUCAGAGUUAAGGUCAAGUGAGAGCUUCAUCACUGCAGGUCCCUGAGGGAUCUUGCUGGCUACUUGAAGAUUCAAAGAGCAAAACUUUGGGAUCAGGAGACCUCUGAGCAAAAGCUUUCUCCAGAGGGGACACGGUCCUGAGGCCUGGUCGACAGGCUGCACCCCAUGGGGGCCCACAUUAUUUGGAUAGCAGAAGAUUGGAAAUCAGGAAAAAGAAAAUUAUUAAUGAACAGAUUCAAUCUUGUGUUAAUCUCCUCAAUGGCGGUGUACCUACCCAGCAUUCCCCGCGGUGAU
Long non-coding RNA from Hemiscyllium ocellatum (epaulette shark), 391 nucleotides. RefSeq lists it as uncharacterized. The record is from RefSeq and is a predicted model, not a curated record. The transcript is spliced from 4 exons. Lineage: Eukaryota; Metazoa; Chordata; Chondrichthyes; Orectolobiformes; Hemiscylliidae.